This 839-nucleotide ribosomal RNA is filed under the name uncultured bacterium. RNAcentral describes it as "bacterial SSU rRNA". It matches the Rfam family "Bacterial small subunit ribosomal RNA", at positions 54 to 916 of the family's 1533-position model. The record is from RNAcentral.
CAUGCAGUCGAGCGAUGAGCCCUUCGGGGUGGAUUAGCGGCGGACGGGUGAGUAACACGUGAGUAACCUGCCUCAAAGUGGGGGAUAGCCUUCCGAAAGGAAGAUUAAUACCGCAUAACAUCAGUUGAUUGCAUGAUUGACUGAUCAAAGAUUUAUUGCUUUGAGAUGGACUCGCGGCGCAUUAGCUAGUUGGUGAGGUAACGGCUCACCAAGGCGACGAUGCGUAGCCGACCUGAGAGGGUGAUCGGCCACAUUGGGACUGAGACACGGCCCAGACUCCUACGGGAGGCAGCAGUGGGGAAUAUUGCGCAAUGGGCGAAAGCCUGACGCAGCAACGCCGCGUGAGUGAAGAAGGUCUUCGGAUUGUAAAGCUCUGUCUUCAGGGACGAUAAUGACGGUACCUGAGGAGGAAGCCACGGCUAACUACGUGCCAGCAGCCGCGGUAAUACGUAGGUGGCAAGCGUUGUCCGGAUUUACUGGGCGUAAAGGGUGCGUAGGCGGAUGAUUAAGUCAGAUGUGAAAUACCAGGGCUCAACCCUGGGGCUGCAUUUGAUACUGGUUAUCUAGAGUGCAGGAGAGGAGAGCGGUAUUCCUAGUGUAGCGGUGAAAUGCGUAGAGAUUAGAAGAACACCAGUGGCGAGGCGGCUCUCUGGACUGUAACUGACGCUGAGGCCACGAAAGCGGUGGGGGGAGCAAACAGGAUUAGAUACCUUGUAGUCCACCGCCGUAAACGAAUGUCUACUUGGAGGUUGUGGCUGGACUUGGUCUUUCGGAGCUACGCGGUAAGUAAACCGCGCUGGGGAGAUACGGUCGCAGAAAUAAACUCAAUAGAUUGACGG